GGAGGAAAGUAGGGGAUCGCAAGACCUUGCGCUUUUGGAGUGGCCGAUGCCUGAUUAGCUAGUUGGUAGGGUAAUGGCUUACCAAGGCGACGAUCAGUAGUUGGUCUGAGAGGACGACCAGCCACACUGGGACUGAGACACGGCCCAGACCCCUACGGGAGGCAGCAGUGGGGAAUUUUGGACAAUGGGCGAAAGCCUGAUCCAGCAAUGCCGCGUGAGUGAAGAAGGCCUUCGGGUUGUAAAGCUCUUUCAGUCGAGAAGAAAAGGUUGUGACUAAUAAUCACAACUCAUGACGGUAUCGACAGAAGAAGCACCGGCUAACUACGUGCCAGCAGCCGCGGUAAUACGUAGGGUGCGAGCGUUAAUCGGAAUUACUGGGCGUAAAGGGUGCGCAGGCGGCUUUGUAAGUCAGAUGUGAAAUCCCCGGGCUUAACCUGGGAAUUGCGUUUGAAACUACAAAGCUAGA
RNAcentral lists this ribosomal RNA (466 nucleotides) under uncultured ammonia-oxidizing beta proteobacterium. RNAcentral's name for it is "bacterial SSU rRNA". It matches the Rfam family "Bacterial small subunit ribosomal RNA", at positions 198 to 645 of the family's 1533-position model. Lineage: Bacteria; Pseudomonadati; Pseudomonadota; Betaproteobacteria. The record is from RNAcentral.